RNAcentral lists this long non-coding RNA (523 nucleotides) under Lathyrus oleraceus (garden pea). RNAcentral's name for it is "Pisum sativum (pea) long non-coding RNA (PSAT_LNC010809)". Lineage: Eukaryota; Viridiplantae; Streptophyta; Magnoliopsida; Fabales; Fabaceae. The record is from RNAcentral.
AACAUUCCAAGUCAUAUCACCUUCACGUGUCCAUUUGACACUUUUACUUUUAGAAGAUUCUUUGAUCCUGGAAUAAAAGGCGAAGAUACUAAUAAAAAUUUCAAGUUCAAUGGACAUUACCCAAAGCUAUUCCAUGACAACCCCACUUUGGAAGAAGAAAAUGUAGAAUAUAUCUCUUUGGGAAAGGCUGCUUAUGUGAUCACCUAUCCUCCUUGACUACUCGGGUGUGUUCUUUCCUCUCUCUUCUCUCUCUUAUUUUAUGUUUGUUUCUUUCAUUGAGGACAAUGCAUAUUUUAAGUGUGGGGGAGGGAAUACUUUAGUUUCUUUGUUUUUGUUCUUUGUUUUGUUUUGUUUUUGUUUUCUUUCUAAAAAAAUUGCAUCUUCUUGAAAGUUUUAGGCUAUAGAUUACUUUGAGUCGAGUUUGCGGAGACUUGAGAAAAAUUCACAAGAUCGGUAUUGUUUUAACACCGUAAGUCUCCUGCAUAUGGAAAUUGAGUUGAAUUUUUAUUAUGUUUUAGCCUUA